Molecule: ribosomal RNA, 104 nt
Filed under: Vicugna pacos (alpaca)
Lineage: Eukaryota; Metazoa; Chordata; Mammalia; Artiodactyla; Camelidae
Source: RNAcentral
GCCUACAGUCAUAUCACCCUAAAUGCACCUGAUCUUGUCUGAUCUUGGAAACUAGCAAGGUCGGGCCUGGUUAGUACUUCAUGGAAGAGAAAAAAAUGUAGCUA